UGCACCGCGUUAUACAGACGGUAAAUCCUCAGUCCGAUCCGUCCCGACUGCAGUCCGUGCGAGAGUCCGGGUCGGCCUUAUCUCUGGGGCCGCAUGCUACCUGCCGGGAGCGCAUACACCAGGUACCGAAUCAAGUGUGUGCGCCGCAGCCCGGCCCGCACCUCCAGUGUCCCGGGGCGAACAGGGUGAAGGCGGGUCAUGGAAGGUCACAGCGGUGUCAGAGCCGGCACACGGCUGCCAGGGAGAAGGCGACUAGGUGCGAGACCAGGGCCGGCCGCUCAAGGCCCGGAGUUACGGAGCAGAUCCCGGACUUGUCUCUAGCGGCGGUCGGAUCUGGGCCGUUCAGGGGCCAGAGGCUACCCAACUCGCUUGUCGGUUCUCUCGCCGUGAGCAGGGUAUCGGUCCCGGGUCGGCCUCGGUAUCCGCUCUCCUAUUCGCACAGUCCCCCUGCUCCAAACUCCGGGCUCUCCCAGCUCGGAGGCUCCACACCCUGGGACGUACCACUGCAGCCCACAAGGAGGGGGAGGCGGGAAGGCCCAACCUGCACGUCACACACAGAAAAGGCAACUUCCGACGACCCGCCCAGUAACUGCCACCCCCCGCAUCAGCAAGUGCCCCGAGACAGCGCAGCCGGUUAUUUUAUAGAAACGCGGGGCCCGCGAGCGUCGUUCCCGCUGCCUCCCCCCCAGCGCCGCCUGUGAGAUGCCGCCUCCCACAGCUCCAAACCAUUUAUAGUAACGUCUCCUGCUUUGUGACUCUAGGACGAAGCACAUCAUUGAAACAAUGGAGCGGCACACAGGUGGUGACACCGACAGCCUGCUGCCGGCUCAACACCAGGGUUAAGGAGUAGAGCCCAGGCCUACUGAAAAGUGAGGGGGACCCGUCACCAAUACCCCCC
Molecule: long non-coding RNA, 898 nt
Organism: Spea bombifrons (plains spadefoot toad)
Lineage: Eukaryota; Metazoa; Chordata; Amphibia; Anura; Pelobatidae
Exons: 2
Source: RefSeq, a predicted model, not a curated record